Molecule: ribosomal RNA, 414 nt
Filed under: uncultured bacterium
Lineage: Bacteria
Description: bacterial SSU rRNA
Rfam family: Bacterial small subunit ribosomal RNA
Source: RNAcentral
AGGACUUGACAUUGAUAGAAUCCGAAUGAAAGUUCGGAGUGCCCUUCGGGGAACUUGAAAACAGGUGGUGCACGGUUGUCGUCAGCUCGUGUCGUGAGAUGUUGGGUUAAGUCCCGCAACGAGCGCAACCCUUGUUGUUAGUUGGUCAUAGCGGUAUACUUCUAUGUAUCUCUCUAGCAAGACUGCCGGUGAUAAACCGGAGGAAGGUGAGGACGACGUCAAAUCAUCAUGCCCCUUACGUUCUGGGCUACACACGUGUUACAAUGGCUGGUACAACGAGCCGCAAACUCGCGAGAGUAAGCAAAUCUCUUAAACCCAGUCUCAGUUCGGAUUGCACUCUGCAACUCGAGUGCAUGAAGUCGGAAUCGCUAGUAAACGCAGAUCAGCACGCUGCGUUGAAUACGUUCCCGGGUC